Molecule: ribosomal RNA, 950 nt
Filed under: uncultured Bacillota bacterium
Lineage: Bacteria; Bacillati; Bacillota
Description: bacterial SSU rRNA
Rfam family: Bacterial small subunit ribosomal RNA
Source: RNAcentral
UGGAUCCAGACUUUGAUCAUGGCUCAGGAUGAACGCUGGCGGCGUGCCUAAUACAUGCAAGUCGAACGAAACUUCUUUAUCACCGAGUGCUUGCACUCACCGAUAAAGAGUUGAGUGGCGAACGGGUGAGUAACACGUGGGCAACCUGCCCAAAAGAGGGGGAUAACACUUGGAAACAGGUGCUAAUACCGCAUAACCAUAGUUACCGCAUGGUAACUAUGUAAAAGGUGGCUAUGCUACCGCUUUUGGAUGGGCCCGCGGCGCAUUAGCUAGUUGGUGGGGUAAAGGCUUACCAAGGCAAUGAUGCGUAGCCGAACUGAGAGGUUGAUCGGCCACAUUGGGACUGAGACACGGCCCAAACUCCUACGGGAGGCAGCAGUAGGGAAUCUUCCACAAUGGGCGAAAGCCUGAUGGAGCAACGCCGCGUGGGUGAAGAAGGUCUUCGGAUCGUAAAACCCUGUUGUUAGAGAAGAAAGUGCGUGAGAGUAACUGUUCACGUUUCGACGGUAUCUAACCAGAAAGCCACGGCUAACUACGUGCCAGCAGCCGCGGCAAUACGUAGGUGGCAAGCGUUAUCCGGAUUUAUUGGGCGUAAAGGGAACGCAGGCGGUCUUUUAAGUCUGAUGUGAAAGCCUUCGGCUUAACCGGAGUAGUGCAUUGGAAACUGGGAGACUUGAGUGCAGAAGAGGAGAGUGGAACUCCAUGUGUAGCGGUGAAAUGCGUAGAUAUAUGGAAGAACACCAGUGGCGAAAGCGGCUCUCUGGUCUGUAACUGACGCUGAGGUUCGAAAGCGUGGGUAGCAAACAGGAUUAGAUACCCUGGUAGUCCACGCCGUAAACGAUGAAUGCUAAGUGUUGGAGGGUUUCCGCCCUUCAGUGCUGCAGCUAACGCAAUAAGCAUUCCGCCUGGGGAGUACGACCGCAAGGUUGCAACUCAAAGGAAUUGACGGA